RNAcentral lists this long non-coding RNA (335 nucleotides) under Nicotiana benthamiana. RNAcentral's name for it is "long non-coding RNA (NBEN_LNC027652)". The record is from RNAcentral. Lineage: Eukaryota; Viridiplantae; Streptophyta; Magnoliopsida; Solanales; Solanaceae.
AAAUAUAAAUAUUUUUUUUUUAAAAAGGACUCGUGGAGAACUCGGUGAAGUAAGACGGUAAACUGGAGAUAUUUUGGAAUCCUCAAAAUAAUAGUAUCAUCUAUCCAUUUCAGAUAGCGACCAAAAAAGAACCGUCAGAAUCACUCGGCAAAAACUCUGCGGUAUGAAAGCCUGAAUCUAUUCAAUUUAAUGUUUUUUGCCUCAUUAUGUAUAUAGGUAUGUUUUCCGAAUUCUUUAUCUCAUGAAAAUGCGAUUAAUAUUUAUGUUUUUUUAAUUCAAUUCCAUCCCAUCAAUCGAAAAGUUCACUCCAGUUGACAUCUUCAUUAUUAUCGCUC